Molecule: ribosomal RNA, 253 nt
Filed under: uncultured bacterium
Lineage: Bacteria
Description: partial 16S ribosomal RNA
Rfam family: Bacterial small subunit ribosomal RNA
Source: RNAcentral
UACGAAGGGGGCUAGCGUUGCUCGGAAUCACUGGGCGUAAAGGGCGCGUAGGCGGCCAUUCAAGUCGGAGGUGAAAGCCCAGGGCUCAACCCUGGAAUUGCCUUCGAUACUGUUUGGCUAGAGACCGGAAGAGGUAAGUGGAACUGCGAGUGUAGAGGUGAAAUUCGUAGAUAUUCGCAAGAACACCAGUGGCGAAGGCGGCUUACUGGUCCGGUUCUGACGCUGAGGUGCGAAAGCGUGGGGAGCAAACAGG